GACAGAGGGUGCAAACGUUGUUCGGAAUUACUGGGCGUAAAGCGUGUGUAGGCGGUCCACUAAGUCGGGUGUGAAAGCCCUGGGCUCAACCCAGGAAGUGCACUCGAAACUGGCGGGCUAGAGUAUCGGAGAGGUUGGUGGAAUUCUCGGUGUAGAGGUGAAAUUCGUAGAUAUCGAGGGGAACACCGGUGGCGAAGGCGGCCAACUGGACGAAUACUGACGCUGAGACACGAAAGCGUGGGGAGCAAACAGG
RNAcentral lists this ribosomal RNA (253 nucleotides) under uncultured bacterium. Its description in RNAcentral is "partial 16S ribosomal RNA". It matches the Rfam family "Bacterial small subunit ribosomal RNA", at positions 524 to 776 of the family's 1533-position model. The record is from RNAcentral.